CACGCACGCACUCUCUCUCUCUCAAAAAAAAAAAAAAAAAAAAAAAAAGCUAGUCCUUGUUCCUGGGUCACAUUUCGGUUAUGUCCUUUGUUCCUCUAGAACAGGGUGGGUUCUUGCUACUUCCCUCUGCUCCCCUCCACUCAAACCAGGUCUUGGGAGAUCUGGGCCCUGGGACCAGCUUCUGGCUUCUCUGACCUUCCGGCCACACUUGCCUCCCUAGAUGUCCCCCCCUUGUCUGAGCCUAGACUCCCUGUCACCAUGGGCUCCCCCAGAAGGACACUCAUGCCUCUUAGUGUUUAACCUGUCAUGGAUGGCCACAUUCUGUCCACCCCAGGCCUUGCUGUCUCUCUAGACUUUUUCCCAUGUCCCCUGGCUGGUUGGCCCCAUACCUGAUCUUCAUGGGAAACCGUUUUGUCUUUAGCUCUACCUCUUCACAUGUCUCUUCCCCCCCCAAACUCACACACACAGACUCCCUGGCCACAUUGGUAAUAGCCAGUGAUGUUUGCCACGGAGCACUUUAUGAGCAUGUUCUUGUAAGUCCCUCUUCACAUAUGAGCCAGUGUAGCUCCAAAGGUUUAAGUGGCUUAGCCAAGAUCACAUGGCUAAAGUAACAUACUCCUUUACCUCUGAUUCUAUUCAUUCCAUUCUAGAAAUUUCUUAGGGGAAGGAGAGAGACUGACCGAUUCUAUUCUAGCUCUUCUCUGCUGACUCUUCCUCAUGGUGGCUGGCUUUAGUAACUAGCAGAAACAGGUUUCAAACUUAUGUCUGUUUGAUGUCAACACUGAUAGAUUUAAUCACUCCCCGAAGACAGCCUUUGAUCAUUUCAUGGUCUCUACACUGUAGUUCCCUUUGAUAAGCCAGUGCCCUUCCCCGAUGCUCCGAUGCUCCGUGACACUGCAGAGAAGACUCUGUCACCCAGUGGGGCUAGCUCUGGGACAGGAAGCGUGAAGAUGUGUCCAGCGUGCAAGACCCAAGUGCUCCCCAAGGGACAGCCCCCUCCUCACCAUGUUGAUCUUCCCUUGGGGGUGAGCCAAGGACGACACCGAGAUGGCUGUCACCGCGCUGACCGCAAGAGCAUAAGGCCUCCGGAAGCUCCAGGCCACCAUCAGCCCAAAAUAGGCUGCAAACACGUGGAUGUGCAUCAUGUUGACGUGGUUGUCCUUCUGCAACAAAGGCAGUGAAUGCCCACAGCCUCCGCCCAUGGGCCAAUCCCCGGGAGACAGUUCUGAGCUUCACCCUAAGGUGUGACUUGGGAGUCAUGAGACCAGCGUUUGGCGCUUAGCCAGCCCAGCAGCUCCCCUCUCAGAGGAGACCUGGGAGUAACCAUGUACUUAUUCCAGGGAAAUUGCUGGUUGGCCUUAUCAGUAGCUCUUACAUGCUUUUGGCUGGGAUCCACUUAGGUGAGGCAAAAAGCCACAUGGACAUGCGCCCCCACUGCUUCCUACUUUUGGCAGAAUUGAUGGAGAGGUGAGCAAUAUAAAUUUUGCAGCAUAAAGCAGCCAGACUUCAUAAUGCUGAACUAAAAGUCUUUAGUAAAUGCUAGACAUACGCUAAGUUUGCUUUAUGAACAUCAAAGUUAGUCAUCCUUAAUAACUCACUUAGUGGACCACUCGUAAGUCCUGUCAACUGUGCCUUCAAAGAAAUAUCCAGAACUGGCAGAGUUUUUACCACCAUGCCUCACUGGCCCCACCAUCACCGCUACCCCAAAUUAUUGCAAUAAUCACCGUCCCCCUACUGACUCCUCUCCACAUGGCAGCCAGCGCAUGGCCAUCUCUGUUCAGAAUCUUCCAAUGGUUCCUGUCUCGCUCAAUGUCCACGUCCACGUUCUUGCUCUGACCUAUAGAACCCUCUGUGACUUGCUCGCUCCCUAACCUCCCCGGCUUCACCUCCUGCUCCACUCCUGACACACUCUCACUCUUUCUCAAACCCACAGAUAUGCUCCCAUGUCAGUCCCACUUCACGCUGGCUUUUCCAAUGCCUGGAAUGCCAGGUGAAAGGAGUGAGCCACCACGGGUGCAGGCAGGCAGGGGGUGCAUUGUCUGGAGAGAAUUUAAAACAAUAAUAAAAGCAAUUAAAAGCCUGUCUUUUUAUUAUCACCACGCGCCAACAAUUCUAAACAGCGUGGGCAAUAAAAUACUCCUGGAAGAGGCAGGCCACUCCCACCGCCCUGCCCUUGACCUGCCCUUAUACGCAGACACCCACGUGGCUUGUACACUUGCUGCCUUCAUGUCUCUACUCAAUUUUUUUUUUUUUUUUUUUUUUUUUUUUACCCAGGGAAGCUUUCCCUGGCCACCUUGUUAACAUUUUAUCCCUCUUUCAACUCUUCAUAUCUCCUUUCCCAUUUUAUUUUUUCUCUGUAGUACUUAACACUCUCUAACACGCGAUACCGUUUGCCUAUUUGAUGGUUUAUUGGCAGCCUUUCCCUCUGGAAUGGAAGGUCCCCAACAGUUGCAUUGCCUAAAAGACGCCCGGUACGUAAUAGACAUGGAAUAGACAUGUGAAAUGAACGAGUGAACGGGAAGGAUACCUUCACACAUUUCACUUACACAUGAAAACGAAAGUCUGUGAUAGUCCCUUGUAAAAACUGUGUGAGGUCCCCCAGGAAUCCAGGAACCACAAGUGGGGAUUGUUGGCGUGGAAUACUGUACCCAUUUCUCGAGUUGCCUCCACUGAAACAGCUCUGGUUGCUGCCUCUGGUUUCCUCCUGAGUCUUUCCACUCAAGAACCCAGGCUGAACUGAAGUUCCGAGGUGAAGCGGCCACCUCUCAAAAUCAGUACUAAAUCCUCCUGUGCACCAUCUCACCUAGCGAUUCAAAGCCGCAGAGAAGAGAGGAGAGGAGAUGGCUUUGAAAAACUGCGGCCUUUUAAAACAAUCAUUACGAGGACCCUGGCAAAGCAGGCACAGGUUUACAAAGGACGGCACACAACGCGCGUUGCAGCUCUGGGAAUUCACCCUUCUCUUGACUAGCCACGUGUUUACUCUGUGACCGCCUACGCUGGCUGCAGCUGAUUGGCCCAGAGUAGACAUGUGGCCGCGGGAGCCAAUCAGAUUCUAUCUUACUGGACCGUGGACCUGGGACUAGCUGAGAGCAAAGAGAGCUGUUUCCUGUAGGAUCCGGGCCUUAGAGGCGCAUGAACAAGAGCGGUAGGAGAGAUACGUGGUCUCCACCAAAGAGAAAGCUGAUGUGCACAGAAGUUGGAUGUACAGGGAGGAACAGAACCCAGAGAUGGAGAGCGUGAACUGCCUGGGGUCUUAAAGACUCCUCAGAUCCAGUUCCAGUCCUGAGACUGGCUGCCACCCCUUGCCCUUGGUGGUCCUUAUGUUAAAUUCCCUUCGUUUUGUGUAAAAAAGCUCCAGUGCAAUUUUCUUCCUUGAAAGUAAGGGGUGGGAAUUAAUCCUUGUAGUAAGCAGAGAGAAGCGACAGAAAAUGAAGUAUGCCUGGGUGAAUCCCUGAGCCCAUAGUGAUCUAAAUAAAUAAACAAGCAAAUAAACGCAUGAAUGGAGAAGAAGAGAAAGUUCUUUCUUACAGCAGAACGGUAACUAAGGAGUGUGGAAGGGAAGAGGCAAUCAGAAAAAACAAUCCCCCCCGGGGGGGGGGGGCGGGGCGGCGCCUGGCUGGCUCAGUUGGUAGAGUAUGUGAUUCUUGAUCUUGGGGUUCUAAGUAUGAGCCCCACCUUGGGGUUUAGAGAUUAGAGAUCUCUAAAUAGAGAUUAUUUAAUACAUAAUUUAAGUAAACAGAUUACUUAAA
Molecule: long non-coding RNA, 3749 nt
Organism: Herpailurus yagouaroundi (jaguarundi)
Lineage: Eukaryota; Metazoa; Chordata; Mammalia; Carnivora; Felidae
Exons: 2
Source: RefSeq, a predicted model, not a curated record